This 766-nucleotide ribosomal RNA is filed under the name uncultured bacterium. RNAcentral describes it as "bacterial SSU rRNA". It matches the Rfam family "Bacterial small subunit ribosomal RNA", at positions 568 to 1333 of the family's 1533-position model. The record is from RNAcentral.
CUCGUAGGCGGUUUGUCACGUCGUCUGUGAAAUCCCUCGGCUUAACCGGGGGCGUGCAGGCGAUACGGGCAGACUUGAGUACUACAGGGGAGACUGGAAUUCCUGGUGUAGCGGUGAAAUGCGCAGAUAUCAGGAGGAACACCGGUGGCGAAGGCGGGUCUCUGGGUAGUAACUGACGCUGAGGAGCGAAAGCAUGGGUAGCGAACAGGAUUAGAUACCCUGGUAGUCCAUGCCGUAAACGGUGGGCGCUAGGUGUGGGGUCCUUCCACGGACUCCGUGCCGUAGCUAACGCAUUAAGCGCCCCGCCUGGGGAGUACGGCCGCAAGGCUAAAACUCAAAGGAAUUGACGGGGGCCCGCACAAGCGGCGGAGCAUGUGGAUUAAUUCGAUGCAACGCGAAGAACCUUACCUAGGCUUGACAUAUACAGGACGACGGCAGAAAUGUCGUUUCCCUUGUGGCUUGUAUACAGGUGGUGCAUGGUUGUCGUCAGCUCGUGUCGUGGAGAUGUUGGGUUAAGUCCCGCAACGAGCGCAACACCUGUCUCAUGUUGCCAGCACGUAAUGGUGGGGACUCGUGAGAGACUGCCGGGGUCAACUCGGAGGAAGGUGGGGAUGACGUCAAAUCAUCAUGCCCCUUAUGUCUAGGGCUUCACACAUGCUACAAUGGCUAGUACAGAGGGCUGCGAUACCACGAGGUGGAGCGAAUCCCUUAAAGCUGGUCUCAGUUCGGAUUGGGGUCUGCAACUCGACCCCAUGAAGUCGGAGUC